CCUACGGGAGGCAGCAGUGGGGAAUUUUGCGCAAUGCGCGUAAGAGUGACGCAGCGACGCCGCGUGAAUGACGAAGGCCUUCGGGUCGUAAAGUUCUUUCGGCAGGGAAGAAAAUGCCUAUAAGUAACUGUGUAUGUAUUGACGGUUCCUGUCUAAGCAGCCCGGGCUAACUACGGGCCAGCAGCCUCGGUGAUACGUAGGGGGCAAGCGGUAUCCGGAUUUACUGGGUGUAAAGGGAGCGUAGACGGCAGCGCAAGUCUGGAGUGAAAUGCCAUGGCUUAACCAUGGAACUGCUUUGGAAACUGUGCAGCUGGAGUGCAGGAGAGGUAAGCGGAAUUCCUAGUGUAGCGGUGAAAUGCGUAGAUAUUAGGAGGAACACCAGUGGCGAAGGCGGCUUACUGGACUGUAACUGACGUUGAGGCUCGAAAGCGUGGGGAGCAAACAGGAUUAGAUACCCUUGUAGUC
This 465-nucleotide ribosomal RNA is filed under the name uncultured bacterium. RNAcentral describes it as "partial 16S ribosomal RNA". It matches the Rfam family "Bacterial small subunit ribosomal RNA", at positions 338 to 795 of the family's 1533-position model. The record is from RNAcentral.